GAGUCGGGCUCGCUCCGUGGAGAGCAAGGGCACUUGCGAAGAGGCGGCGGGGAGAAGAGGUAGAAGAGUCGGGAUCCGGGGUUGAGACGCAGGGUAGGCCGAGAGGCCAGCGGGCAGAAGAGGUAUAAGAGUCGGGGUCGGGCUGAAGGGGUGGACGCGGCGGAGGGGGUAAUAGCGUCCACCUAGCAACUCCCUCGAACAUGAUCUCAGUUUACAGUUUAUCUCUGGGGUUCAUGUAUGGUUAUUCGCACUCGCGCGCCAGCCUAACGCGGCACGUUUACUCGAUACUGCACGGCGAAGAGCCCCGCGUUCUCCGGUGCGCCGGCCCCUUCCGCGGCGUGCCGCCCCCCGUUCUGCUGCCGUUACGGUCGAAGCACGCUUGAACGGAGUUGCCGUGGUUGCCGAACCGUCCACAACCCGACGACAGCUACGGCAUGCGCGAGCGCCUCCCACCUACCGACUCGGACCGCGACGAGCGGCGGCACCGGCGGUGGACGACCAUGUGCCCGGAGGAGGAGCCCGCAACGUACCGGCGACUGGUCCGUUAGGCCUGCAUGGGCCUGUAGCCGCUCGCGCGGAAGCCGGCGGCCCCUGCGGACCAGCACAGGCGGAAGUACAUGCGGCUCGAGAUGGAGCAGCGGUAGCCGAAGGAGUAGGAGCUGCCGCUGUUGGAGCUGUUCGAAAAGGGGCCGCGGUCGCAAGUGGACCCCGGGCACAGCGAACGCCCCUUCGUCGACAAGCAGCACGACCACCGCGAGUACCAGCGCGGGUGCUGCACCGACGCGUCAGACCCGCACGAGCGGAUGCAGAGGCGACGUCCGCACAAGCGCAGCCAGCGGUAGCAGGAGUCGCACGAGACCCGGCGCCGGCAGCUGCCGCAGCCCAAGAGGCCCGCUCCGUGAUGGUGCGGUAACGCCGAGUGGCCGGAGGGGUGGCGAGAGCCGGAGAUGUGGAAGACGAUGACGUGGGUGCGCCACAAGGGCUGCGACAUGUGUAGGUACUUCGUUUUUAGAGUCAAGGGUUUCUACGAUCGCUAUACGAAGCACGACACGUGCGAGUUGAUGCCGAGUUACCGGCACGACCCUAUGGAGUACAUGCCGCUGCCGCACGUCAGGGUCCACUGCGAGUUGGAUGGCCGCCGCUCCGAGUCGAGGUUCUAGCGGUAUAUGUGCUGCCACCAGUACGGAAAGAGCUUCAUACGUGACCACCAGUGCGGCUAGCGCCACCGGUAGCUCCUCUCCAAAGCACCGCACCAUCCGCUCCCUCGGCGCCGGAGGCACCGCCACUCCUGCGACGACCACGACUCGUGCCACCAGCAGCGCUAGCGCGACGGGAAGAAGCCCAUGGAGUACCGCGACCACCCAAGGGACGAGUCGCACACGCGCACGUACGACGACGGCACGGAGACGAUACAGUCCUAGAAGCCUCGAUGUAGAGAGUGCCGAAACCUCUGCCGCAGCUAGCAGCCUUAUGACCACAACCCGAACGACCACCGAUAUUGUCCCUGCAUGAGAAGAGAACACGUUUAAUAGGUACUCAACGUUCACCCUCACAUUUUACAGAUUAAGAAAAGAAAUCGAAUAGAAAAUCUACUUGACCAAUUUACUAUACGUUAAAUUAUGAUCAUAGUCGCUCCGGAGGUAUACGAGACGUAGCACAAAGAACAAAGUCGUCGGCUUACGUAAAGCGUUUUUUCCUUUAGUAUUCUUCUUUACUUAAUCACCGUUACCAUGAUGGGAGUUUUCUUCUUUCUUUUACAUUGCUUUAAUAAUACACCUGCUGAAGCAGACCUGCUCGACACUUGCUACCUCCUAGCUUACCACUAUCAGUCGAAAGGGAGAUACGUACCUACCGGACUGCACAACAUAGUACGUGUUUAGCAGGUCUAAGAUAGCACACACAUCGUCG
This 1908-nucleotide ribosomal RNA is filed under the name Triticum aestivum (bread wheat). RNAcentral describes it as "partial small subunit ribosomal RNA". Lineage: Eukaryota; Viridiplantae; Streptophyta; Magnoliopsida; Poales; Poaceae. The record is from RNAcentral.